This 482-nucleotide ribosomal RNA is filed under the name uncultured bacterium. RNAcentral describes it as "partial 16S ribosomal RNA". It matches the Rfam family "Bacterial small subunit ribosomal RNA", at positions 29 to 506 of the family's 1533-position model. The record is from RNAcentral.
UUGAACGCUGGCGGCAUGCUUUACACAUGCAAGUCGAACGGCAGCGCGGGCUUCGGCCUGGCGGCGAGUGGCGAACGGGUGAGUAAUGCAUCGGAACGUGCCCAGUAGUGGGGGAUAGCCCGGCGAAAGCCGGAUUAAUACCGCAUACGACCUGAGGGUGAAAGCGGGGGACCGAAAGGCCUCGCGCUAUUGGAGCGGCCGAUGUCGGAUUAGCUAGUUGGUGGGGUAAAGGCUUACCAAGGCGACGAUCCGUAGCUGGUCUGAGAGGACGACCAGCCACACUGGGACUGAGACACGGCCCAGACUCCUACGGGAGGCAGCAGUGGGGAAUUUUGGACAAUGGGGGCAACCCUGAUCCAGCCAUGCCGCGUGCGGGAAGAAGGCCUGCGGGUGGUAAACCGCUUUUGUUCGGGAAGAAAUCCUCUGGGCUAAUACCCCGGGGGGAUGACGGUACCGGAAGAAUAAGCACCGGCUAACUACGU